CCAAUAGCGUAUAUUAAAGUUGUUGCAGUUAAAAAGCUCGUAGUUGAAUUUUAGGCCUGGCCGGGCGGUCCGUCUUUGGCGAGUACUGUCCUGUGUCGGGUCCACCUUCUGGUGAACCAGUAUGUCCUUUAUUGGGUGUGCCGGGGAGCCAGGACCAUUACCUUGAAAAAAUUAGAGUGUUUAAAGCGGGCAUUUGCUUGAAUAGAUUAGCAUGGAAUAAUAGAAUAGGACGUUGUGGUUCUAUUUUGUUGGUUUCUAGGACCACCGUAAUGAUUAAUAGGGAUAGUUGGGAGCAUUAGUAUUCAAUUGUCAGAGGUGAAAUUCUUGGAUUUAUUGAAGACUAACUAUUGCGAAAGCAUUUGCCAAGGAUGUUUUCAUUAAUCAAGAACGAAAGUUAGGGGAUCGAAGACGAUCAGAUACCGUCGUAGUCUUAACCAUAAACUAUGCCGACUAGGAAUCGGGCGACGUUAUUUUCAUGACUCGCUCGGCGCCUUAUG
This 497-nucleotide ribosomal RNA is filed under the name uncultured Glomeromycotina. RNAcentral's name for it is "partial small subunit ribosomal RNA". It matches the Rfam family "Eukaryotic small subunit ribosomal RNA", at positions 591 to 1092 of the family's 1831-position model. The record is from RNAcentral. Lineage: Eukaryota; Fungi; Glomeromycota.